AUACGAGGGGUGCAAGCGUUAAUCGGAAUUACUGGGCGUAAAGCGUUCGUAGGCGGUUUGUUAAGCAAGAUGUGAAAGCCCAGUGCUCAACCUUGGAACUGCAUUUUGAACUGGCAGGCUAGAGUACGGUAGAGGGUGGUGGAAUUUCCAGUGUAGCGGUGAAAUGCGUAGAGAUUGGAAGGAACAUCAGUGGCGAAGGCGGCCACCUGGACAGAUACUGACGCUGAGGAACGAAAGCGUGGGGAGCAAACAGGAUUAGAAACCCCGGUAGUCC
Molecule: ribosomal RNA, 274 nt
Filed under: uncultured bacterium
Lineage: Bacteria
Description: partial 16S ribosomal RNA
Rfam family: Bacterial small subunit ribosomal RNA
Source: RNAcentral